AUUAUGUUGGUUUAUGAGUCUUGUCGAUUUCUGGUCGUUAUUGAUUGAGGUAGCUGUUUGAAGCAUUAGUUGGGCUGGGUUGGAUUGAGUUUUAUUUAUUUUUAAUUAAUAAAAGGCAGUAAUAUGGGCAUAUGGGUAAUUAAAAAAAUUGUUGCUGCAUUUGAAUUUGAAGCUUGUGGCUGAUGAUUUUGUUGUUUUGGGAAGCUUAGAUAUUGUGUGUGGGUGUUUGGGUAGUUUAAAUAAUUCUCAGAUUAUGCUUAAUUGUUGUUUUUAAUUUUGUAGUACCAUAUCAAUGGAUUUGGGAGG
Molecule: unclassified non-coding RNA, 306 nt
Filed under: Hevea brasiliensis (rubber tree)
Lineage: Eukaryota; Viridiplantae; Streptophyta; Magnoliopsida; Malpighiales; Euphorbiaceae
Source: RNAcentral